CCUACGGGCGGCAGCAGUGAGGAAUAUUGGUCAAUGGGCGCUAGCCUGAACCAGCCAAGUAGCGUGAAGGAUGACUGCCCUAUGGUUUGUAAACUUCUUUUAUAUGGGAAUAAAGUGCAGUAUGUAUACUGCUUUGCAUGUACCUUAUGAAUAAGGAUCGGCUAAAUCCGUGCCAGCAGCCGCGGUAAUACGGAGGCUCCGAGCGUUAUCCGGAUUUAUUGGGUUUAAAGGUAACGUAGGCGGGUUGUAAAGGCAGUUAUGAAAGUUUGCGGCUCAAACGUAAAAUUGCAGUUGAUACUGGCAACCUUGAGUACAAGAGAGGAAGGCGGAAUUCGUGGUGUAGCGGUGAAAUGCUUAGAUAUAUCGAAGAACACCGAUUGCGAAGGCAGCCUGCUGGACUGUAACUGACGCUGAGGCUCGAAAGUGUGGGUAUCAAACAGGAUUAGAUACCCUAGUAGUC
RNAcentral lists this ribosomal RNA (460 nucleotides) under uncultured bacterium. RNAcentral describes it as "partial 16S ribosomal RNA". It matches the Rfam family "Bacterial small subunit ribosomal RNA", at positions 338 to 795 of the family's 1533-position model. The record is from RNAcentral.